Molecule: ribosomal RNA, 252 nt
Filed under: uncultured bacterium
Lineage: Bacteria
Description: partial 16S ribosomal RNA
Rfam family: Bacterial small subunit ribosomal RNA
Source: RNAcentral
UACGGAGGAUGCGAGCGUUAUCCGGAUUUAUUGGGUUUAAAGGGUGCGUAGGCGGGAUGCCAAGUCAGCGGUAAAAAUGCGGUGCUCAACGCCGUCGAGCCGUCGAAACUGGCGUUCUUGAGUGGGCGAGAAGUAUGCGGAAUGCGUGGUGUAGCGGUGAAAUGCAUAGAUAUCACGCAGAACUCCGAUUGCGAAGGCAGCAUACCGGCGCCCUACUGACGCUGAGGCACGAAAGCGUGGGUAUCGAACAGG